CCUACGGGAGGCAGCAGUGGGGAAUAUUGCACAAUGGGCGCAAGCCUGAUGCAGCCAUGCCGCGUGUAUGAAGAAGGCCUUCGGGUUGUAAAGCACUUUUGUCCGGAAAGAAAUGGCUCUGGUUAAUACCUGGGGUCGAUGACGGUACCGGAAGAAUAAGGACCGGCUAACUACGUGCCAGCAGCCGCGGU
Molecule: ribosomal RNA, 191 nt
Filed under: uncultured Ralstonia sp.
Lineage: Bacteria; Pseudomonadati; Pseudomonadota; Betaproteobacteria; Burkholderiales; Burkholderiaceae
Description: partial 16S ribosomal RNA
Rfam family: Bacterial small subunit ribosomal RNA
Source: RNAcentral